Molecule: RNase P RNA, 310 nt
Filed under: Aquimarina algicola
Lineage: Bacteria; Pseudomonadati; Bacteroidota; Flavobacteriia; Flavobacteriales; Flavobacteriaceae
Description: Bacterial RNase P class A
Rfam family: Bacterial RNase P class A
About the family: Ribonuclease P (RNase P) is a ubiquitous endoribonuclease, found in archaea, bacteria and eukarya as well as chloroplasts and mitochondria. Its best characterised activity is the generation of mature 5'-ends of tRNAs by cleaving the 5'-leader elements of precursor-tRNAs. Cellular RNase Ps are ribonucleoproteins.
Source: Rfam by way of RNAcentral
AGAGCAGAUCACCUUAUCGCUCUUUAUAUUAUUAAAGAGAGGAAAGUCCGGACACCGUAGCACAGUAUAGCGGGUAACGCCCGUCCGUCGAAAGACGAGGACAAGUGCAACAGAAAGAAUGUACAGGUAAUGCUGUAGUGAAAUCAGGUAAACUCUAUGCGGUGCAACGCCAUGUAAACCAGCAUUUGAAGGUUGUGCGCCUAACGUUGGAGGGUAGGCGGUUUGAUCUUGAUAGUAAUGUCAAGACUAGAUAAAUGAUAAGGGCUUUAUUAAUAAAGUUACAGAAUCCGGCUUAUGAUCUGCUUUUUCU